This is a long non-coding RNA of Sorex araneus (European shrew), 3542 nucleotides long. RefSeq lists it as uncharacterized. NCBI's taxonomy places the organism in Eukaryota, Metazoa, Chordata, Mammalia, Eulipotyphla, Soricidae. The record is from RefSeq and is a predicted model, not a curated record. The transcript has 2 exons.
GGUAAGAAAGAAACUUACAAAGGUUUUUUUUUUUUUCUUUUUGGGUCACACCCGGCGAUGCUCAGGAGUUGCUCCUGGCUCUGCACUCAGGAAUCACUCCUGGCGGUGCUCAGGGGACCAUAUGGGAUGCUGAGAAUCGAAGCCGGGUUGGCUGCGCACAAGGCAAACACACUAGCCGCUGUGCUAUCACUCCAGCUCCCGAAACUUACAAAGUUUUUAAAAAUAAAUGGUCUGCAGUUUUUGUACAAUAGGUCUGCCUUACUUUUGUAGGUGUCUAGGUAUGGUUCUGAAAGGGAGACAAGAGUUUGCUUACUUUUUUGUGGAGAUGUUGGGGAGCAGUGAUAUUUAACAGCAAGUGGGAAAAGGUAAAAACCACUGUUUUGAGUACAGCUCUGUGUCCCUGAAUGUUUGAGCCAAUGAUGGUCCCCAUGUCUGAGAGGAGUGAUGCCAGUGGUCUGUGCCCCACAGCCUGAGUGUACGGCAGUCUGCUGUUUAUGGCUGUGUGUUUAUACGCGCUCAUUCAAUGCAGAAGGCAUCUAGUGACACAUUUCUCAGAACAUAAACAGUUCACAUCUUUUUUAUGGCAACUAAGAUUUCCUACACUGUGACUUUAAAAGUGUACAUUUUAAGUCAAUGUUGGAAAGUGACACACUAUAAUUGUGAUAGAUCUUCCUCCCCUUUUGCAUACUGAAAUGGGUCUGUCAUAUUCAUGAGUCCGAACUGUCUCUCCAAUAUAAAGAACAGGUGUGGAAACAUUUUGAGUCUUGUUCAGUGGAUUUUCACAGUGCUGAUUUGGGGGACAUCUUACCCUGUCGUUGCAGUUAACAACUAUGAGAUUGAUUUUGUGACAUUAUACUUCUCAAGUCUUCAGCUCAUUCUUUUACAUGUGAGCAUCCGUUUGGUAACAGCAGAAGGAACAGAUUAAGAUUUUGCAUCGUGAAAAUUAGAAAUACACGGCUUAGAGAGAGGAAAGGCCGAUACGAGGCACUGUGAGGACAGACUUUGUUCCUUAGUGGAGUGAACUUAAUGGGCUCGGUCCCUCGUCCCUCACUUGGAUUGAACUGAGUCGGUCUUGCUGAAGAGUUGGAUGGACUCGGAGACAUGCUUGUUCGACUGCCUGCUUGUUGCUAUGAGGUCAAGCAAAGCUGUGUAGAACAGAGGGCUGCAGUGAUAAGACAAUGGGGAGGGUGUUUGCAGGUGCACAGCUGGCCUGGGUUUCAUCCCUGGCAUCCCAUCGGGUCCCUCAAGCACUGUACCAGGAGUAAUUCCUGAGUGCAGAGCCAGGAGUCUGGCUUACUCAUCACCAGGUGUGGCACCCAAAAAACAACAAAGAGCAUCGGCAACCACUGUGCUAAACCAACACCUCAAAUGAGAAUAGAUAAGGGGCAUAUAAGUACACUGAAAGAAAGAGGAAUAUUCUUUCCUCGCGAAUACCAUUCUUGCUAGUAAACUACUGAAAACCUGCUGACUUUUCAAAGAAAUGUGGCACGCGUUACCUCCACAAAAUCACAUAGUGCAGGAAAAGGCAAGGAUUCUCUGUAAGCCCAGGGAAAGUGGCAUUAGGACAGGAAGCAGAGUGGCUAUGGAGUGGUUUGAGCAGACUUAACAAUUUUUCCAGAAAAGAUUAAAACUACAAAGUAGAUUGUGUUGAGGCUUGAAUGCUUCGAGCCUAACUGCAGAUCAAGAAAAUGUGCGCUGUUAAAAGAUGCAGCAUUUUGAACUGGGAGGACAUACAAAUUGAAAGGGAAAAAUGACACAGUUCUAGCUUCAUCUUUUAUUAUGAAGACAGAAAUCUUGGUCUGUUAUUUGAGGAGGGAAAUAAGUAGUACCAUGAAUAAAGUUUCCCUAGGGGAAAUUUUCUUGUAAAAAAAGAAGAGGAAUAUUCAGUGUUCACACAAAUUCAAUGGAUUAGUUCUGCCAUGGUUGAUGAGUUGGGAAUUACUGGGUAACAAAAGGCUUCAGCAAGUCUAAAGAGAACAGCACAAAGAGCAUCAAAUGGUGAUUUCAGCAAUAUCCAGGAUUCUUCAAAGUAAGGCAAACCACGAAAGCAAGGGAAAUGACAAUUUCAGACAUGUGAAAAAAAAGCAAACUCAAAAGUAUUGGUAUUUCAAACAGGAGAGAUAUGGAAAUGUCUCUUCAGUCAUGAGAGUGAAACAUACGACUAUGGAAGAUAACAAUUUGAAAGCUGGGCCAGAGAAAAAGUACAGCGGGCCAGGCACUUGCCUUGCAUGGGGCCUUAUGGGUUCAAUCAUUCUGGGCAUCCUAUAUGAUCCCCAGAACUCACCAGGAGUGAUCCCUGAGCGCAGAGCCAGGAGUAAGCCCUGAGUAUCGCUGGGUGUCGCCCAAAAGCAAAUAAGAUUUGUUUUGAAAGCUUUUCUAAAGAACCAAUACACCGAUAAUGAAUUCUCUCCAGUUUUUCUUUUUUCUUUCUUUCUUUCUUUUUUUUUUUUUUUUUUGCUUUUUGGGUCACACCUGGCAAUGCACAGGGGUUACUCCUGGCUCUGCACUCAGGAAUUACCCCUGGCCAUGCUCAGGGGACCAUAUGGGAUGCUGGGAUUUGAACCCAGGUCGGCUGCGUGCAAGGCAAACGCCCUACCCGCUGUGAUAUCUCUCCAGCCCCUUCUCUCCAGUUUUUCAGCCAUCUAGGAACCCUGUUCAAUAAGGAGGCGACCCAGGGGCAGUGGGCGUGGCCAGCACGUGCGAUUUGCCUUGGGUUGGACGUGGCUUAAUGUGGGGGCGUGGCCUGUCCCGGGGUGUGGCCAUUGUGGCGCGUACAGGGUAACAGUCGUGGGCGUGGCUUGGCUGGGGGCGUGGUCAGUCGUGCGGCUCGCCUGGAGCUCGAGAGCGCGUCCCUCCACGAGCAUCCACUCAGAUCCACGUGUUUGUCUCUAACGGUCCUUGUGGUGCUGAGGUUGACCGGUCAGUGAGCGGACACAGGAGAAUACAGCAGGCCAUCGGGAAGGUGAGGAGAGACAGGCCUGGGCGCGGGGAAGCUGGAGGGGGACGAGAGGGAAAAAGCCCGGUGGGCGGCGCGGAGACGGAGGCUGAGACCCCGAACCUCCCCGCCUGCGCCCUCCAGCCCCCUGCCUGCCCCGCCAUGAGCGCCGCCUUGGUCCUGCUGCUGCUGCUGCUCCCGGCCGCGCCCCUGCCCUCGGCUACCGCCGCGCCCAUCCGGGAUGCCCGACUCGUGGACAGCCUGGAGACCCUCCUCCAAGGUGUCCAAACUGGAGGAGACGCCGGUCUGUGGGGAGCCGCGGAGCAGCCCCCUCACUCUGGCUGCCCACCCGGCUCCUAACGUGGCUGCCGGGCCAGGAAGCCGGAUGGGAGGACCAGCGGCUCCGUGAGAUGCACUGAGAGCACAGGCUCCUCCAGAGGGCCAGUCCAGGGCUCCUGGGCCCCCAAGCCCUACCCUGAAACCUCUCCCUAUCCCUUCCCAGCUGCAGAGACGAGGGCCAGGACCCACAGUUCUGGCUGUGCACCCCAGGUUCCCCAUCACCAGCCCUCACCCUGGCUCAAUUUGGAAAUAAAGUUCUUCUGUAGCA